GUGCAUGUGAGUAUGUCUGUCAGUGUGUGUGUGAGUAUGUGUCUGUCAGUGUGUGUGUGUGCAUGUGAGUAUGUCUGUCAGUGUGUGUGUGAGUAUGUGUGUCUGUCAGUGUGUGUGUGAGUAUGUGUGUCUGUCAGUGUGUGUGUGCAUGUGAGUAUGUGUGUGUGAGUGUGUGUGUCUGUGUGGUUCUGUCAGUGUGUGUGUG
Molecule: non-coding RNA, 205 nt
Organism: Pelobates cultripes (western spadefoot toad)
Lineage: Eukaryota; Metazoa; Chordata; Amphibia; Anura; Pelobatidae
Source: the annotation of a GenBank genome assembly